Long non-coding RNA from Mytilus trossulus (common blue mussel), 872 nucleotides. RefSeq lists it as uncharacterized. NCBI's taxonomy places the organism in Eukaryota, Metazoa, Mollusca, Bivalvia, Mytilida, Mytilidae. The record is from RefSeq and is a predicted model, not a curated record. The transcript is spliced from 5 exons.
AGUCCUAGACUUUCAAAACCUGAUUCGACAUUAACGAUAAUAUUUAUCGUUGUAUUUCUGCUCGUGAUAUCCCUGAAAAUUCUCGGAGUUACUGCUCAAAGAAAGUGGGGAUAUUUAGGAAAAAGAAUGAAUUCCGUCGUUGUGUCAUUCAGAAAGGAUGCAGAAAGGAUUACGUUAGCUGACGAUAUUACAGAACAGCCUGGUCUUAUUGAUGAGUCAGUGGAGCCUACAGAUGGGUUGAAUUAUGUGGAGGUUUUGACAGAGCCACUAGCAUCAAGACAAACUAGAAUUCGAGGAAUAGAAAACAAAAUAAUGUAUUCAGAAAUUGAUCAUUCAUUAAAGGCAUAAGAUGAAUAAUCAGACAUUAAUAAAUGAGGAGCGAAAGAUAUACAUGUAUAAUAUAAAACAUGUUUUUUUUUAUAUUAUCAAUGUUAAAAAAAUACUGUUGUUUAUUUUUUAUGUUCUUAAUCUGAAUAUAAUUUCGAUUCUCGUGUGUUAUUAAUUUUCAUCUAAUUAACUAAGGCAAACAAGACCCGAUGAUUGAACAUAUUUCCACAUUUGAAUAAAGUAAUAGAUUGGAAAUGAAAUAGGCAUUUUGUAUUUGUAGACGACCUUUGAAAAAAUCGAAAACGUCCGAUAGCAAUGGUUACAGGAGGUGUGAUGAGAUAAUUGAAGCUGUUAAUUUUCUCCUUGAUAAUAUUUAUGUACGUUUCGGCAACAAAGUUUAUCGACAGGUUGUAGUUAUCCCCAUGGGCACUAAUUGUACCCCUUUAAUAGCAGACUUGUUUUUGUACUGUUACGAACCACAGUUUAUGACUAAACUCAGUAAAGACCCGUCGAAAUUGCAUUUAAUUGAUAAAUUCAACAACACU